GGUCAUAGCUCAGUGGUAGCACAUCUGCUUUGCAGGCAGAAGGUCCCAGGUUCAAUCCCCAGCAUCUCCA
Molecule: non-coding RNA, 70 nt
Organism: Podarcis lilfordi (Lilford's wall lizard)
Lineage: Eukaryota; Metazoa; Chordata; Lepidosauria; Squamata; Lacertidae
Source: the annotation of a GenBank genome assembly